This 433-nucleotide ribosomal RNA is filed under the name uncultured bacterium. RNAcentral describes it as "partial 16S ribosomal RNA". It matches the Rfam family "Bacterial small subunit ribosomal RNA", at positions 29 to 507 of the family's 1533-position model. The record is from RNAcentral.
AGCGAACGCUGGCGGCAUGCCUAACACAUGCAAGUCGAACGAGACCUUCGGGUCUAGCGGCGCACGGGUGCGUAACGCGUGGGAACCUGCCCUUAGGUUCGGAAUAACUCCCCGAAAGGGGUGCUAAUACCGGAUAAUGUCUUCGGACCAAAGAUUUAUCGCCUUUGGAUGGGCCCGCGUUGGAUUAGCUAGUUGGUAGGGUAAAAGCCUACCAAGGCGACGAUCCAUAGCUGGUCUGAGAGGAUGAUCAGCCACACUGGGACUGAGACACGGCCCAGACUCCUACGGGAGGCAGCAGUGGGGAAUAUUGGACAAUGGGCGAAAGCCUGAUCCAGCAAUGCCGCGUGAGUGAUGAAGGCCUUAGGGUUGUAAAGCUCUUUUACCCGGGAUGAUAAUGACAGUACCGGGAGAAUAAGCUCCGGCUAACUCCGUG